Molecule: long non-coding RNA, 1814 nt
Organism: Molossus molossus (Pallas's mastiff bat)
Lineage: Eukaryota; Metazoa; Chordata; Mammalia; Chiroptera; Molossidae
Exons: 3
Source: RefSeq, a predicted model, not a curated record
AGCUUGGCUGUGAAGAGGAAGAGAAAGACAGGGCAAGAGGCAGAAGGGUGUGUGUGUUAGGUGGAGUGUCUGGGUUGUCACAUGUGUGUGUUCCUAAGAUAAGAGAGACUCGAGUUUAAAUGCUGCAGGGAAGAAGCCAGUGGCAGGGGUUGGGAGAAGAGCCGUGGAGCGGUGACAUUUAAGCAGAGACCUGAAGAAGAUGCAGGGUGGCAGGCCACUGCAGGAAGAGCUUUCCAGGCACAACGAAGAGCUGCAGUGACAUUUGCUGGCUUUAGUUUCCAAAAGACUUAGAGCCAACAACUCUUGGGUUGAUUACGCUUCUGAAGGAAUCCACCUACGGACAGCACUCGCCGGGGUUCUCUGUUGAGCAAUUCGAUCUUAAUUUUUCGGCAGAGGCCAGAGAACUUGGUGGAUGAAAGAACAGCUCCUAGAAUCAGAUGUCCUGGUUUGACUAUGAGCUCUGCCUUUGCUAAAAUGGACCCUCUGUGUCCUGCCCAGAAGUUCGUCAUCUCUGGCGGGGUAGGCGCACAGAAGCACCCCAAGCCCAGGCAUCUUCUCCAGAGCCCGCCACACUCCGUGAUAUGCCCUUCGGAGGGAAGCCAAGCGGGGUGUUCCCGCAGGGUUCAGCCUUGCAGCUCUCCUUGCCUUUCCGCUCACCCCACUUUUCCCGCACACCCCACUUUUCCCGCACACGGCUAUAUGUAUACCAAAGAGUCCCUCAUGCCUGCCUAGGCCUUUUCCCUUCGUUGGACAAUCUCAUCACUCAGUCUUUCAGGUAGAAAAAUUAGUAAACUUCAGAGUUCAGAUUCUUUUGGAGAUACGUGGAGACAUUUUUUCCCUCCAUUACAUUAAAUCGUUUUCUGUAAGCUUUAGAGCAAAUUGCUUUAAAAAAUGAAAUACACAUAGAUGCUGAGACCCAAAAGUGCCACUGAUGACCUGAGAAGCUAUUAUUUACUCAUGGAAAGCACCUUUCAUUCGCUUAAAUUGUUCACUACAUUUUAAAACUAGGAGAGUAGCAAAAUCGAAGACUUAAUUCUCAUGAAAUAUAAUAAAAACUCUGUGAACUAGAAAGGAAAAGAAAUCCUAAUUAAUUAUUAAAUGCCCGCUAUGGAGAUUACCUCAUACAAUUUUCCUAAUAACCUAUGUGGUAGGAAUGAUGAUGAAGAAUUUACAUAUAGAUCAGGAAAUAAGAGCAGUUAAGUAACCAGCCUGGGAGCUAGGAUGGAAGCACUUGCUUUCCAGCCUCCCGCACAGCCGAGGCUCAUUCUGCUUGACCUCGCUCAGCUAUUAGCCAAGCUGCACAAACUCUGUUAUUGAUGUUCUUAAUAAAUUUGCAUUUUCAUAGCCCCACAAGAAUCUGGGUAGGCAGGAAGAAUAUUGGCUUGACAAACCAGGAAAGAAUCCUGAACAAUUUAAAACAAAUGCUGGGUUUCACAUUCCUUCUCUCUUCUUUAUAUCAUAUUUUUAAAUUUGGAAUUCACUCUCAGAUGAACUGGCUGUUUGUUCCCCUGAGCCCUGUUUGGCUGAUAUACUUCAACUAAGGAUUUGGUGUAUCACAAAACAAAGCAGCCUUGGAAGAUAAUUGAUUCUGAUUUAUUAGAAAGAAGGACUGAAACUAAAACCUAACAACUAAAAUCUUUGGCACUCACAGAAAUUCUUAGAUACCUCAUUUUGAGUUGAUUCCUUUAGUUAUCUUAUGGGUGUUAGUGUGACUUUUUUAAAUGUCCAAGGGAAACAUUUGGACAGUUUAGAACAAUAAAUUUAUAGAGUUUGGGGUUUUAAAUUAGCAUUCAAUUUAUUAAAGUCACAAUUUU